GACGAACGCUGGCGGCGUGCUUAACACAUGCAAGUCGAACGGUGAAGCGCCUUCCUUUUUGGUGGGUGUGGAUGAGUGGCGAACGGGUGAGUAACACGUGAGUAACCUGCCCCCUUCUUCUGGAUAACCGCAUGAAAGUGUGGCUAAUACGGGAUAUUCUGGGUCUGUCGCAUGAUGGGUCUGGGAAAGAUAUUGUUUCGGUGGGGGAUGGGCUCGCGGCCUAUCAGCUUGUUGGUGGGGUGAUGGCCUACCAAGGCGGUGACGGGUAGCCGGCCUGAGAGGGUGGACGGUCACACUGGGACUGAGACACGGCCCAGACUCCUACGGGAGGCAGCAGUGGGGAAUAUUGCACAAUGGGCGCAAGCCUGAUGCAGCGACGCCGCGUGAGGGACGGAGGCCGUCGGGUUGUGAACCUCUUUCGCCAGUGAAGCAGGCCUGCCUCGUUUGUGGGUGGGUUGACGGUAGCUGGAUAAGAAGCGCCGGCUAACUACGUG
Molecule: ribosomal RNA, 494 nt
Filed under: uncultured bacterium
Lineage: Bacteria
Description: partial 16S ribosomal RNA
Rfam family: Bacterial small subunit ribosomal RNA
Source: RNAcentral